GAGUCUACUGGAGUAGCUACCUACUGGAAUCACUUCUGAAUCCUCAGACAUCUCUUCACCCUCCUCUGGCUACACUAUAGGUUAUCUAUGCUUUGGACGCAUAAAGGUAUCUUUCUUAGGAUGUUAGCAUGGAAUAAAUAUGAACGUCAUUCCAUAUGCUAAAUGCUCGUCACUGUGGAGCUCCUGGAAGCAUUUGCAAUGGAAAUGGAGACAGCUUGACAUGAUCAUAAACCACACUACUGGAAGAAAGUAUGGGGAGAGCACAAGCAGAGAUAACAGAGGUGCCACACAUCCAGGCCUCUGCUUGCCACUUUCCCCCUUGACUGGGGAACUGGAAGAACAUCCACCUAAUAAUAGGGGUGUGGACUGACCUGUGCUUAUCAGCCCCAGACAGGUGCUGCCUCUCCUCCUGUUCCUUGUCGUUCAAGGAAAGCACUAAUUGGAAUGGCUGAUAAUAUAAAAUAUCUCUUAAUCAUGUAUUUGAGAUCUGUACCAAGCUAUGACAUUUGCCAGGCUCAGGUGAAUUUAGAGAUCUGAUUUUAAAAGAUGGCAGAGACAGAUGGAGAGCUAGCAAAACUGUAUAUAUUCUGUCUAGGUAAAAAUAAAAACAAGUUAAGGAUCUUAAAACAAAAAUCUCACAUAGGAUGAGAUCUUAAGUGAUAAUUUCUGAAAUAUGUUUCAUAAAAAAAUGAUUUGCUUGACACCUUUCCUUUACCUGUCCACAGUUUUCACUGAGAUGGUCCUGAUGCCAACAGCUUCCAUUAUGUUAGUACUUAUACUGUUCCUCUGA
Molecule: long non-coding RNA, 790 nt
Organism: Numida meleagris (helmeted guineafowl)
Lineage: Eukaryota; Metazoa; Chordata; Aves; Galliformes; Numididae
Exons: 4
Source: RefSeq, a predicted model, not a curated record